RNAcentral lists this ribosomal RNA (301 nucleotides) under uncultured bacterium. RNAcentral's name for it is "partial 16S ribosomal RNA". It matches the Rfam family "Bacterial small subunit ribosomal RNA", at positions 509 to 807 of the family's 1533-position model. The record is from RNAcentral.
CAGCCGCCGCGGGAAUACGUAGGUGGCAAGCGCUGUCCGGAAUUAUUGGGCGUAAAGGGCUCGCAGGCGGUUUCUUAAGUCUGAUGUGAAAGCCCCCGGCUCAACCGGGGAGGGUCAUUGGAAACUGGGAAACUUGAGUGCAGAAGAGGAGAGUGGAAUUCCACGUGUAGCGGUGAAAUGCGUAGAGAUGUGGAGGAACACCAGUGGCGAAGGCGACUCCCUGGUCUGCAACUGACGCUGAGGAGCGAAAGCGUGGGGAGCGAACAGGAUUAGAUACCCCUGUAGUCCCUGUCUCUUAUAC